This 253-nucleotide ribosomal RNA is filed under the name uncultured bacterium. Its description in RNAcentral is "partial 16S ribosomal RNA". It matches the Rfam family "Bacterial small subunit ribosomal RNA", at positions 524 to 776 of the family's 1533-position model. The record is from RNAcentral.
UACGGAGGAUCCGAGCGUUAUCCGGAUUCAUUGGGUUUAAAGGGUGCGUAGGUUGUUUUAUAAGUUAGCGGUGAAAUACCGAUGCUCAACAUCGGGGCUGCCGCUGAUACUGUAGGACUAGAGAUCGGAUGCAGCAGGCGGAAUGUGUAGUGUAGCGGUGAAAUGCAUAGAUAUUACACAGAACACCGAUUGCGAAGGCAGCUUGUUAGGCCGGAUCUGACACUGAUGCACGAAAGCGUGGGGAUCGAACAGG